UACAGAGGGUGCAAGCGUUGUUCGGAAUCACUGGGCGUAAAGCGCGCGCAGGCGGUCGUGCAAGUCGGGAGUGAAAUCUCGCCGCUCAACGACGAGGCUGCUUCGGAUACUACCCAUCUAGGGACCGGUAGAGGCUGGUAGAAUUGCAGGUGUAGCGGUGGAAUGCGUAGAGAUCUGCAAGAAUACCCGUGGCGAAGGCGGCCAGCUGGGCCGGGUCCGACGCUAAGGCGCGAAA
This 235-nucleotide ribosomal RNA is filed under the name uncultured bacterium. RNAcentral's name for it is "partial 16S ribosomal RNA". It matches the Rfam family "Bacterial small subunit ribosomal RNA", at positions 524 to 758 of the family's 1533-position model. The record is from RNAcentral.